RNAcentral lists this unclassified non-coding RNA (72 nucleotides) under Pseudomonas cedrina. Lineage: Bacteria; Pseudomonadati; Pseudomonadota; Gammaproteobacteria; Pseudomonadales; Pseudomonadaceae. The record is from RNAcentral.
UGUGGGAGCUGGCUUGCCUGCGAUAGCGGUGUUGGAUUCACCGCCGCCAUCGCAGGCAAGCCAGCUCCCACA